RNAcentral lists this ribosomal RNA (497 nucleotides) under uncultured bacterium. RNAcentral's name for it is "partial 16S ribosomal RNA". It matches the Rfam family "Bacterial small subunit ribosomal RNA", at positions 28 to 507 of the family's 1533-position model. The record is from RNAcentral.
GACGAACGCUGGCGGCGUGCCUAAUACAUGCAAGUAGAGCGCUGAAGGAUGGUAUUUGUCCCAACUGGAUGAGCAGCGAACGGGUGAGUAACGCGUGGGGAAUCUGCCUUUGAGCGGGGGACAACAUUUGGAAACGAAUGCUAAUACCGCAUAAAAACAUUAAACACAAGAUUUAAGUUUGAAAGAUGCAAUUGCAUCACUCAAAGAUGAUCCCGCGUUGUAUUAGCUAGUUGGUGAGGUAAAGGCUCACCAAGGCGAUGAUACAUAGCCGACCUGAGAGGGUGAUCGGCCACACUGGGACUGAGACACGGCCCAGACUCCUACGGGAGGCAGCAGUAGGGAAUCUUCGGCAAUGGACGAAAGUCUGACCGAGCAACGCCGCGUGAGUGAAGAAGGUUUUCGGAUCGUAAAACUCUGUUGGUAGAGAAGAACGUUUGUGAGAGUGGAAAGCUCAUCCAGUGACGGUAACUUCCCAGAAAGGGACGGCUAACUACGUG